This is a long non-coding RNA of Callithrix jacchus (white-tufted-ear marmoset), 15850 nucleotides long. RefSeq lists it as uncharacterized. NCBI's taxonomy places the organism in Eukaryota, Metazoa, Chordata, Mammalia, Primates, Cebidae. The record is from RefSeq and is a predicted model, not a curated record.
CUUUUGACUUAGAUACUAAGUAUAUUGUCAUUUUCAACUUUCCUUCUUUAUUUAAUGUAUGCAUUUGAAGCUGUAUUUUAAUUAUUUGCAGCAGUGUGCUGGAGCCAACUGUAGCUCAUAUUGGCUUGUGGGAAUCUAUUGUGUGUAUCCUUCCCAACUUCACACUUCAUGUUGGUGGCUUGAAAUAGACUAUGACUUUGGGAGGACGAGGCCAAGAGAUCGAGACCAUCCUGGUCAACAUGGUAAAACCCCGUCUCUACUAAAAAGUACAAAAAAUUAGGUGGGCAUGGUGGCGCGUGCCUGUAAUCCCAGCUACACAGGAGGCUGAGGCAGGAGAAUUGCCUGAACCCAGGAGGCGGAGGUUGCGGUGAGCCGAGAUCCGCCAUUGCACUCCAGCCUGGGUAACAAGAGCGAAACUCCGUCUCAAAAAAAAAAAAAAAAAAAAGAAAGAAAAGAAAAGAAAUAGACUAUGUGGGAUAUUUACACUAUGAAUAUUGACAAAGGCUACAAUUAUAAUAGUGCUUGCCUAUCCCCCUUUCCCUCCAAAUAUGUGGAACCUGUUGGAAUACAUUUACCAAUACAUGAUUGGUUGAUUUCCAAAUCUGGUAUUUAGUGUUGGUGUUAUGCUUUUGUUCUAAAGUCUGAUUUCUUUUUUACUCUUUGGUUGUUUAGAAGUAUUUGUUAAAAUUUCCAAAUACAUUAAAUUUUUUGUUGUUGCUUCUGGCUUUUAAUUUUAUUGUGAUGUAGUCUAUAGAACGUUAAUUCUUUAGCAUUUGUUAGGGCAUAGUUAAUAGCAUACUAUAUGAUCACUUUAUUCAUUUGUAAUUUUUAAUUAAAAAACUUUUUUAGAGACAGGAUCUCACUAUGUUUCCCAGGCUGGAGUGCAGUCUCUAUUCACAGGCAAAAGCGUAGCACACUACAGCUUUUUAACUUCUGGGCUCAAGCAAUCCUCCUGCUUCAGCUUUCCAAGUAGCUAGAAACAGAGGUACAUGACAAUUGCACCUCACAAUUUACUUUUAAACAUUUAUUCAUGCUCGAAAACAUGUAUAUUCUUUAAUUCUCAGGGUUCUAUAUAUGUCUCUUUGUUCAAGCUUGUUAAUUACGUUGUCUCAGUUGUCUAUAUAGUUAUUAAUUUUUGUAUGUAUGACUACUGAUUUCUGCUUAAUCUAUCAAUUAUGGAUCUAUCAAUUCCAUAAGGACUCUUAAAGGCUCCUCUACAUUGCUAUUUAAAUUUCUUUUCCUUUUGUAUCAGUUUUCUAUAGAUUUUGAGGCUAAACUGUUAGUGUGAACAAAAGUUCCCUGAAAAGGAAUUUGGAGGAAAGUGAUUUUAUUGAAGUGAACAGUUUACAAACUGGGGAGACCCAGGCUUCAGUGUAAAACGAAGGUGCAUUCUGGGAAACAAAGGGAGGCUUUGAGUUUUACAGUGAAAGCUCCUGUCCAGGUUCCUAAUAAGGUCUGUUCAUGCAAAUGAAAGAUUCAAACUUGCUUAGUUCUGACUGGUCAACAGAGCUGAGCUCUGAUUGGUUGAUACAGCUAAGCCCUGUUUGUUGAUACAACUAAAUUUGCAUCAACAUUGGUUGGGUCAGGUGAGCUCUGAAAGUACUAAGGUGGAAUAGAGGCGUUGGUUUUGGCAGAACUCAGAGUAGAUGUGUGACCUGUGGUCAGCCAAUGGUCACUCAGCUCUAUUUUAAAUUUAGGCCUGGUUAGCCACACAGGAUCCAUCUUGAAAGAUUGGCUCUUUCAGAUAUAUGUUCACCUUAGGUACAUAUGGGAUUACUACAUCUUUCUGAUAAUUUUUUUCUGUAAUGAAUAUGUAAUGUCCUACUUAUUCUUUUUUCACCUUAUGUUUCUGUACCUUUAAUACCUUUAACCAUCUUAAAUGUGCAUGUUGUAUUCCCUUUCAGGUUAUUUUUCCAUUAUUUUAUAUUCUGAGCUGUACUAUUUAUAUUUGCUAUUUCUGUUGACUUUCAUUUACAAGAGUAAUUUCCUUGUGCAUUUUAUAAUUUGGGAUUAAUUACAAGAGAAACUCUCCUUUUAUUUGGGAAUCUGGGAACCCUGAGUAGUUCAGGAAUCCCUCCAGUGUGUUUUUGCUGUGCUUCGUUUGAAUAUCCCAGAGCCACUAUCAGCCUAAGACCAAAUUUACAUUACCUUUUCAGCUCCAAGAUUUCCCAUGCUAUGAAUGUAGUAGAAAACAAACUCCACAUGCGCAGGCCUGGAAGGCUGAGCUCUCAUGAGAGCCUAUUUACUAGCAUCAUCUUCUAUUUUUCCGGCUAGAAUCAUAACUGAGACAACUUCCUUAUGGUCUCUCUGAACUAUUGGGUCCUCAGUUUCCCCACCUCCUCCAUGUGUUGUGGGAAGCUGCAGACCGGCAGAGGGCGCUCCGGGCAGUCAGCAAACGAUCCGGGGCAGAUCCACCCAGAGCCAGUGGAGUGGCCUCCUGGAAAUGUCCACAGCUUCAUGAAGAUCCGCUACGUAGUGGGGGUCUCAGGCACAGACCUCACUGGAGCCUGGGGAGAGGCAUGAACACAACAACCUCCGAAUUGUUCUCUGUGUCUCCAGUCUUGCUCUUCGUAAACUCAUUCUUCAAAUCAUAGCCGCCAUGAUCUUUCCGCACCGCAGCGCCUUCCUGCCCUCCCUGGGCAGUUUAGUAGUCCCAGUUUUUAGUGAGUUUGCAUCUCACCCAGUGGCAAAUUCCUAGGUAACCGGAUCGGAUAACUCCUCCUAACGGCUGAGCAUCCCCUGAUGUAACUUUCUCAGUGGCCCUCAGCUGUCUCCUAGCUUCUGCCAUGGGUACAGCCAUAGCUGUUCUUUAUUUGAGCACAGUCACAGAUUUUUAAAAGCUGUAGUAUCUUAUUCUGCAUUUCUAAAUGUUAUUAGGGGGUGCCUCUGCUUGGUAGCCUACUCUGCUGUCUUGCAAAACUAGAAGUCCUGCCUCCUUUAGCUGAUGUGAAUUGUGUUAGUAUUGCCCUUGUUCUUACUCAAGGUCUUUCUGUGACUAUUCAGGUCCUGGGUAGCCAUUCAAAAAGAGUUAAGCGACCACAGGUCCCACCCAGCACGUAUAUAUCUUUGCCCUCUUACCCCUUUCUCCAUGAGUUUUGAAGAAUGGGUGUGGCAGAUUAGACUGGAUGAAACCAGGGUACUCCUCUUUUACAAGAUUGAAAAUUAUGUUAGAGGGAAUUCAUUGCUGUGAAUGGGUUUACUCUCUCUUUAAGGUCACUGGGUUCUCACCAUGUAAGAAAAUAUUUGAUCACAAAACUCUGGGAUGAUUUUUCCACGUAAAUCAUGUGUCCAUUCCAAGUGUAUUUCAUAGCCAUUAGUUUGUUAAGCCUUCCUUAUUAAAAAUAACCGGAGUUUAAUAUAGGUUGAAUGACUUCAGUGAAAUGACACUCUAGUUCUUUUUCCAGAGAUUUUCAAACUUCAUUAAGUUUCUCUGAACAUGCUAAAUUCUUUUAUAAGUUCCUUUGUUCUCCAUUUUUUCACCCGAACUUACUGCUACCUUGCUUUAAAAUUUUUAUUUUCUACAAAAAAGGGUAAGCGAGGAGUGGAGAAAGUCAUUUUAGGUUAUUUAAAAAAAAAAAAACUUCAAAAACAUUACUCUUUUAUUCAAUUUCUAGUUAUUGAAGAAAAUAAAAUUAUAUCCUUUUUAAUGGGUACUUACUUCAACCAAAACCCUUUUUCCCAAAGGCGUUUCUAUUAAUCAGUUCUGAUGGUCUGAGGAAGCCUGUCAAGGGCAGGGGCCUCUUAUUCUCUUACUGUUUGUCCUCGAGGACACCCAUCACCCCCACCUUCUUCUUGGUGACUGGUUCCCUUGGGUAACCAAAAAUAUUUUGCUCAUUUCUGUUUCCAUGACCUCUAUUUGCCUAGUAACCCCUCCACUGCUUCACUGCCCUUCUUCUGAGUCAAGACAUUCAUUCACUGUUUUAUGGUAUGUUGGUACAUGAGAAAACAGACAUGCUGUGGAAUGGUCUAAAGCUCUUCCUGGAUGUACCACACCCCACACUCCAUCCAAAAAAUAAGGCUUAUAUCUUUUUCUAGUAAACGAUUCUAUGAAUUAGGCCGGGUUCAGUGGCUCACCUCCUAGCACUUUGGGAGGCUGAGGCAGGCAGAAAGAACACCAGGUAAGGAGAUCGAGACCAUUCUGGCCAACAUGGUGAAACCCUGUCUCUGCUAAAACACAAAAAAUUAGCUGGGCAUGGUGGUCCACGCCUGUAGUCUCAGCUACUUGGGAGGCUGAGGCAGGAGAAUCGCUUGAACCUGGGAGGCAGAGGUUGCAGUGAGCUGAGAUCGCACCACUGCACUCCAGUCUGGUGACAGAGCGACCCCGUCACACACACACACACAAAGAUUCUAUCAAUUAUUUUAGAUCUUUUCCUCUCUCCCUAGGACUUUGUCUCAAGAGAAAAGCUCGUAUCCUUUUCCCAGAAGUCCACCAGUUUAUUCCCUCCUGAAGAACAAGAAGCCUUCCACCCUUUCUACCUGUUAGGAAUCUUCAGAUAAGAAAACAGUGACCAGAAUGAGAAGCAUUGUUGCCCAGGCUGGAGUCAGUGGUGUGAAUUCCCAGGCUCAAGUGAUCAUUCCACCUCAGCCUCCCCAGUACUCCCAAGUAGCUGAGACUACAGGUACAUGCAUGCACCACACCCAGCUACGAAAAGCAUUUUUGGGUGCCUGUUAAUCACUAGCCAGUGCCGUACAUUACUUUUAAGCUUCAGAGUUACAGUUACCAUCCUCAUUUGACAGAGGGGGAAACUUAAGCUUGGAAAAAAUUAAGUAAUUUACUAUUAGUUCCAUAGAGGAUAGAGCUGAGAUCAGAGUCAAAGCCUGUCUGGUUCAGGUCUCAUGUUCUAAAUCUGUCUUAAAUGCUGCUUAUUCUUACUUUUCAUUCUUACUCCUAAAUCUUAUUUCUUUUAAACUAGACAUUUCUAGUCUGUUUCUGAGCUUCUACCAGCCCCUGUAACAUUUUUAUCUUAGCACGUGACACCAUGUAUUGAAAUUGUUGAACAAUGUUUUUUUGUGUUUUGUUUGUUUGAGAUGAAGUCUUGCUUUGGGGUGCAUGCAGUGGUGUGAUCUCAGUUCAUUGCAACCUCUGCCUCCCAGGUUCAAGUGAUUCUCCUGCCCCAGCCUCCUGAAUAGCUGGGACUACAGGCAUGUGCCACCACGCCCAGCUAAUUUUUGUAUUUUUAGUAGAGACGGCAUUUCACCAUGUUGGCCAGGAUGGUCUCGAUCUCUUGACCUCAUGAUUCACCUGCCUCGGCCUCCCAAAGUGCUGGGACUACAGGUGUGAGCCACCAUGCCUGGCCAACAAUGUUUUAAUCAGAUCCAACCUCUGUACUGUCAGAACCUAGCACAGUGCCUGAUAUACACUAGAAAUGUUUAUUGAACUUAUACAAUAUAUUUUUUCUGUUGCUAUAUAUUUACCCUUUUAUCACCACUGGUGGCCUCCCUAGAUCCCACAGCUGGAAAAGCUGAGAAGCACAUGAACCUGAUGAGGAAUGGUAGUAUCAAGUUGGGAAUUAGGGGGAGUUAGAAAAUGUCCAGGCUCAAAUCUGCUAUUGAGGGAAGCAGCGUUUGAUUCUGGUCUGAUUCAUUAGUACUCACUUGGAUUCCCAAGAGUGGGGAACUACUUUGCUUCUUAAGGCAUUUUGUCUUCGUAAACACUACCAUAGAACAUCUAUUCACAAAUGAAUAGACAGUAGAAUGAAUAAGAAAGGCUUCACUCAAACUUUGUUUAACCAAGUGCUAUUCAUUUGGAAACUAUUGUUUUUUCCUAAUCAUGUAAAGUGAACUUAAUGUGUUAUAGAAUCCAGACAAAGUAGAAAAUCAAAAUUAUUUUUAUCAAAAUCCUAAUUUUUAUUUCAAUUUCAAUUUUAUUUUCUUAAGGCAAGGUCUUGCUUGCUCCGUCACCCACGCUGGACUGCAGCAGUGCAAUCACUGCUCCCUGAAGCCUCGGCCUUCUGGAUCCCAUUGAUCCUCCCACCUCAGCCUCUUGAGUAGCUGGGACUACGAGCAUGCUGCCAUGCCCUGCUAAUUUUUAACAUCGCUGGUUUUUUUUUUUUUUUUUGUAGAGAUAAGGUUUCACUAUACUGCCCAGGCUGGUCUAAAACUCCUGGGCUCAAGUGAUUCUCCUACCUCGGCCUUCUAAAGUGCUGAGAUUCUAGGUGUGAGCCACCAUGCCAGCCUCAAGUUUAAUUUUUUAUCAAAUCAAUAUGAGUAUAUGUUUAUUGACAGUUUUAGUACCACUUAAAAUGAAAACUGCCGUUUUUCAUCUCUAAGUUCCAUUACUCAUAUUUAACCCUUUAAUUACUGUAUUUCUUCUGGUGUAUAUCUCUAAAUAGUAUCUUUUUAGUGUUAUUUCUUCACUUUUAUUUUAGAUGUUAUCUAUUGCCUCUCUCUCUCUCUCUCUCUCUCUCUCUCUCUCUCUCUGUGUGUGUGUGUGUGUGUGUGUGUGUGUGUGUGUGUGUGUUUUCCAUAGACAGAGUUUGGCUCUGUUGCCCAUGCUGGAGUACAGUAGCACAAUCAUGGCUCACUGCAGCCUCAACCUACUGGGCUCAAGUGAUCCUCUCUCCUCAGCCUCUUGAGUAGUUGAGACUACAGGCACAUGCCACCAUAGGAGGCUAAUGUUUUACUUUUUGUAAAGACAGGGUUUUGCCAUGUUGUCUAGGCUGGUUUUGAACUCCUGGACUCAAGCGAUCUUCUCACCUCAGCCUCUCCUGUUGGCUUUUUCCUAUGGGAAAAGGGAAUUCAGCUUUCUUAAAUCACCCUGACACACUUCCCCCUCUGUUUUCUCAUAUAAUAGUUGUAUCAAAAACCUUUCGGUUGGUAUCAGUGUUCAAUGUUUGCACUAUUGAGAGCUUGCAAAUGUUAUUCACAACUGAAUUAUGUUGUGCACUAAAGCAAUUGUUCUCUUAUCUUAGAUUUUUUGUUUUCUUUAGGGUUAAUAGCCAUUUUGUGUUGUUUGCUUAGUUUUUUUUACACCUAUCAAUAAUUUAGCCCCAAACUUUCUAAUCGAAUAGUACAGCUUUAUUUCAUUUGACAGGCACAGUAGUUAAUUCCUACUUUACCACCUUGGUCCUGGAAGCCCAGUUCAUUUUCAGUACAUAAAUCUGAGUUUGUGUUUUGUUUUUAUGAAAUUGGGAUCCUACUGUACACACUUACACUGUAUUGUAAGUGGAUUUUUCACCAAGCAAUGCAUCACGAACAUCUUUCAUGCCUAAAACAACCUAUUUAACGGAUGCAUAGUAUUCUAUUGCCUGAACGUACCGUAAUCCAUUAAACUAAUUGCCCGUUGUGACACAUUUACACAGUGUUCAAUUUUUCACUUUUAUAAACAACCCUGAGUCUCAGACUCCUGAAGCCCAAUUUUGCCUAAUUAUUUUCUAAGAUAAAUUCUAAGAUUGAAUUGCUAGGCCAAAUGAUAUGUAGAUUAUUCAGGAUUUGACACAGACUUUCCUCCAGCAAUAGUGUUGAGUUUGAGAAAUAGUGCCAAUUCUGGGCUUUGUCAUCUUAAAACAUUUCAUCAGUCUUAAUGCUAAUUAUUUUAAUUACCAUUUAUUUAAUAACUCAUGAGAUUGUGUAUGUUCUUAUAUGCUGAUUUGAUAUUUUGGCUCUAAAUUUUGUGAAUUGCCUAUUUGCAUCCCUCAUUCAUUUUAUUCCCUGCUGCUCCUUUAUAAAACCUCUCCACUUGAGUUUGUAAUCAUUGCCUUGCCAGACCUAUUUUUUUGUAUUCUAGCUCUUUUGUCUCUUUUCCCAUGCUGUUUUCAUAAUUUCUUUAACCAUUCACCUGUCCAUGCAUCUAUCUAAUAUUUAUUGAGCACCUAUUACAGUCUUCAAGGAGUUGUGAACACCAUAGGCAAGACAAUGUUAUCACUCUUAUGGAACUUACAUUUUAGAAAAAGGAGACAUCAUAAGUAAGCAAAAACAGAAAUAUCAGAUUGUAAGUGUUACAGAGAGGUUUAAUACUAGGUAUCAUGCUAGGGAAUGAUAAGGCAAGUCCUUUAGAUCGAGCAGUUAGGGAAGGUGCCUCUGAGCAGGUGACACUCCAGGACACUUUAGGUCUUAGUGACACACGGAAGCCAGCUAUCUAGUACAACAUUCCAGGAGGAAGGAAGAGUAUGCAUAAAGCUCCAUUUCCUGCCAAUCUGAAAUACAGAUUUUUAAAGGUUAAGUCCCAGUCCUAUGAAGCUUUUUUGAACCCUUUCGGCCCAUAGUGAUAGAGGCAAGAGACGGAGAAAUCUCCUAGGCAGAGAGGGGAGGAUCCCCAAAAAUCUCGAACUUGCCAAGGUCAUUGUGCACAGGGGGCUUGCUAAACAUGCCAUAAAAGCCUCUGUCCUUUCACACAUGUGCACUAAGGGAAAUAAAUCAAUGUGGAGUGGCUCAGAGUAAGGGCUCGCAUAGGCCCUGGAAGGGUGGGGUGGAGCUGCCAGGAAUUCUCGACUUGUACAAAUAGGGAACCCGGCCCUAUUAGCAGAUAUGGAAGCCCUUAUAUUCAACUGUGAGGGGGGAAAACUGGCAACCUGCUUUCAAGACCCCUCUUUUUGCUGAGAGCUUUCCUUUUCGCGUAAUAGAUUCUCCACUUAUUCUUCGAUGUUGUCAUGCUUUAUUUUUCCUGGUUGUGAGACAAGAACCUGGAUCUAGCUGAGCUAAGGAGUAAAAAAUCCUGCAUCGGCAGCAAGCACUGUUUUAAUAUCAUAUAAUUCUCAUUGUCUGAACUACUUAUUUGUCCUUUUUAAUUUAUAGACUCAUAUAAUAAUUCAUCUUAGGUUUAUUAUACAGGUUCAGCAUCUUGAAUCCAAAAACCAAAACGUUCCAAAAUCUGAAACUUUUUGAGUGCCAACAUGACAUCAUGAGAAGAAAAUUCCACGCCUGACACCUUUGCUUUCUAGAGGUUCAAUGUAGACAAACUUUAUUUCAUGCAAAAAAUUAUUUAAAAUGUCAUAUGAAAUUACCUUCAGGCUAUGUGUAUAAGGUGUAUAUAAAACAUAAAUGAAUCUUGUGUUUAGACUUGGGCCCAACCCCAAGAUAUUUCAUUAUGUGUAUGUAAAUAUUCCCACAGCCAAAAAAAUCUGAAAUUUAAGACACUUCUGGUCCCAAGCAUUUUGGAUAAAACAUACUCAACCUGUAUUUUCUGUCUCAGAUAACUCUAAGUUUUUUUUUUUUGUUUGUUUUUUGUUUUGAGAGGGAGUCUCGUUCUGUCGCCAGGCUGGAGUGCAGUGGUGCAAUCUCGGCUCACUGCAACCUCCAUCUCCCAGGUUCAAGUGAUUCUCCUGGCUCAACUUCCUGAGUAGCUGGGACUACAGGCACACACCAUCACACCCAGCUAAUUUUUGCGUUUUUAGUAUAGAUGGGGUUUCACCAUGUGGGUCAGGAUGGUCUCAAUCACCUCACCUUGUGAUCUGCCUGCCUCAGCUUCCCAAAGUGCUGGAAUUGCAGGUGUGAGCCACCGCAGCCGGCCUAAGUUCAAGAGUUUCAUAAGGUGAAGGGACUAUAUCUUGUAUUUGUUAGUGAAGAUAAACUUACCUGAUGUACACUAGAUGCUCAUACUUAUAUUUUCUAGUAAUAUAUAAAAUUAUGAUCUUGGUUGCUUCCUGUAGAUUUGUCUAAUUCAGUCUUUGAAUGCCUGGGAAGGAGCUAUGGCAUAUGAGGUCUUUGGUUCAAAUAGGCUAGAAAAAAGAAAAGUCAUUUACUGCAGAAUAUAAAAUUAAAUUAAAAAGCUAAGGCAUUCACUCUUUUCUUGAUGUUAUUGCAAAUAACAGUUCACAGCUGAACUAUAUAAAGUUUCUUAAUGAAACCUUUACAAGAAAGUGAAUCAAUAGAAGAAAAAGUCUAGGCCAGAAGAAUAAUUUCAAUAACUAGUGUUUGAAAACGAGUAGGUCACUAUUUCUGUGCAAGUGUGUGUGUGUGUGUGUGUACGUGUGUGUGUGUAUGGGUGUGCAUGGAGUGUUUAAAUAGUGUCCUCUAUGUGCUUUGGCAUAUGCUGGGGAGUGUCAAUGGAAGAGAAAUUGUUGUAUGAAAAAAAUAUGGUUAUCACCUUCAAAAACCAUGCACUUUAUUGAAGAAAGAUAAAUGACAAGUACCUAAACUCAGAAAAUUGCUAGGAACCUCUAGAAACUUCAAUAACAUCUGCAAUAAUGUAAUCAAUCAAUCUUAUACUUAAGGGCCCAAGAGUGCUAAGUAUACAGCCAGGAAUAAGGAAACAGAUGGCUUCCCAUACUGGCAGUGGCAGAAGACUAAUUGUUGGCAGAGAUUGGUGUGUGUGAGGUGUGUGUGUGUGUGUGUGUGUGUGUGUUCUGAUGCAUGUCAGACACACUGGAGCUGGAAUUCUGACCAGUUUCCUCUCACUCACCUUUUAAUGAUCUCAUCCACUGUUAUUUGUAUCUCAGUGAGUGAUUUUCUGGUUCUUAUAACUUCAGGUUUAAUAACCCAGAAACCAGUUAGGAGAUAAAGUUUCAGAAAAAAAGGAGACACCAAACCCAAAAUGUUUUCAAGCACACAGAAAUGCAAAAACAUCGAGUGCUCCCAAUAAGAGAAGAUACUUCGUGUCAUUGAGCUCUGGAAACAUUUAAGAAGUGUUUGGAUUACGUGACUCAUGAAGAGAUAAGGAUUGGUAAAAGCUAAGCUAGGUCAAUACAAAGACUCGAUAAAUAAAAAGGGAAAGAAUGGUAGCACCGCAGAAGGAGAACAAGAACAUCUUUGGAACAGGUAAACAAUUGAUGUGGAAUCAUGAUCAAGAUGUUCCUGUUUGAGGUGGAAGCUCAGCUCCAGAAAUUAAUGAUAGUGUGACCUUGAGCAACUUAUUGAACCGCUAGGUGCUUUUGUUUGUUUGUUUGCAUUAUUUGUGGAAUGGAGACUUACUUAACAGAUAGUUUUUGGGCACCUAUAAUGUACCAUACUCAGUCUCAGGUACUCAGACAUUGUCUUAGGCACUAGCUAGCAGUCACUUUCAUUAACCCAUAAAUGUAAAGAGCUGAGAGCACUACUAUCAUUAUGAGAUGCAGAAAUGAAUUUUAGAUAGGGAAGAGGAUGGAAAGUAUGGCAGACAGAAGUGAACAGGCUGCUGUCAGUGUCAAGGGAACAAGAAAGCAAACAGGGAAUGCCAUAAUACAAUUUACAAUGGAAUCAGAAACAGCAAAGAAAACACUACUUAGUACAUAGAUGUUAAACCAAAGCCCAUGUGGAAACAUACUUGGCUUUCCUUUCUCCAAUCGGCUCUCAUUUGGGUCUAUCAGUAUAUCUACCGUGCUGCUAUGUGACUGUCUCAAACAUCCCGCAAGAGUUACGGCCAUCCUCAAAAAUUUAACUUCCAAUGACUUCAACUCAAACUACACAUGUCUAAUUUGGGCAUUCAAGAUACUUAUAAAAAUACUUUUAACUAUCUUUUCUCCCUUAUUUUUCACCUGACUCCUACAUUUGGGGUCGAAAUCACAGAAAGCUUUUGAAUGGCCUGACAGUCUUUUAAAGAUUAUUUGGCUGUAGUAUAAUCUAUUAUCUACUACUUUCUGCUUUAUGCAGUUUCAAUACCACAGACAUUUGAGUUUAUGAACAUUUUCCUUUAUAAACAAGCUAAUAACCCAUUCUGAUUAAACUUGCUUUACUUUUUUUUUUUCCUUUUUACCUUUAGAGGUAGCAGAGUACCUUGUACUCAUUACAUGCUUAAUAAAUAUUAAUUUGCUCUCUCUUUUUCCUUAUCUGUACUUAUGUUUCUUGCUGUUUUUGGAAUGAUCUCCAGUUGUUCUUUGUUUGCCCAAAUAAUAACCAUCCUUCCAGGACCAAAUCAAAAGUGAACUUCUUCGAAGCCUUCCUGUCACUCUCGUCACAGGUGAGAUGGAUCUAUUCCCCUUCAAAGUAUGACUUAAUCCAGAAAAUGUAUACACUGUAUUUCUCAAAUGUUAUAGAACUCUACCUGUUUUAUGGAAGUUUCUCUUUGUAUCAAUUUUUUAGAUAAACAAACAAAGACUAAUGAAUUAAAUCUGCCACAGAAUAAUCCAUCAAAUGGCUAGAAAGGUGAACGAUCAAAAUUCCGCAGUUGAUGGAGUUACAGAUGAUUUUAAAUCCUCUUCCUUUUGUUUUUCUUUUUUCUAAUUUUCUACAAUAAGUAGGUAUUACUUUAGUAACCCAAAAGUAAAAAACUAUGAUGUAACCUAACACACAUAAUGUACACAAGGUACAUUUGUGUAAGUGUGGCUAUUUGUGGCUGCAAAUGCAGUCUUUGAAGACAAUGACUGUGUUCUAUUAAUUUCUGUAUCCACAGUAUUCACUUAGCACCUGAUGCAUACUAGCUACUCAAGAGACUAAAAAGGGAUUUUCUGAAUCAGUGGAAGAAUGGGCGAAGUCUUCAGCAGAAAUGGGCCAUUUGAGGUCUGUUAAAGUCUGAGUGGUUAAGGAGAGAGCUUAUUUGGGUCCUUCAAGGCUUUUCUCCAGGCUUUCUGCCCCUUGCCUGUACACAGAAAUCCAAAGACUGUGGGACUAGGCCUGCUGUUCUGCUGGUGUUCUCACAUCUCUGCUUCUGAGCACGCUGCUGGAAAGGCUAUCCUGAGACACUGGUGGACUGGAUCUCUGACCGGGGAAAAAACUGCUCAGAGACAAAAGCUGUAAGAGGCAUGUUCUGGCAUGAAUGAUACUGGCUCUUCUGGCCCCCAGAUUGCAGAUCCCCAGAGAAGACUAUGGGUAAAAGAUGACUUCAGGAGUAGAACUUCAACUUAGGAAGAGCUCACCCAACCCAGAGAUUUUUUACGUAUCAUUUGGUUGAUUUUAGUUCAUGAGAGCCUAGGAGAUGUUGGAAUAAUUACUAACAAUCCUGGCCAGGGAAAUUAGGAAGCCCAUCCCCUAAUUAAAAUUCAGUGUAGAGGAAUUGACCACCAUGAAUGAUUGAAUUCAAUUCCUUGAGAAGAAGACAGAGAAUUUCAAACUAUUUCCUACAACAAGUGAGAGCACACAGUUGUACCAAGUGAGGGGGUUUCCCCAGGCAAUAUUGGUGGUGGGUUAGGAUGUAUGGGGCCAGAGGCUGUUUUAUUCUCAUUUGGGUGAGAGAAAUGGAUAGGGGAUGAUAAUGAUGCAUGAGUCUUCUUUCAAAGUAAUCACUGAGGGAGACUCUCCAUUUUCGUUUUCUUCACCAAAGUGCCUCAAAACGCUUAAAGAAUUCCACUUGGGAAUUAUUUCGGAACUAGUUUAUAUUUCCUAUCUCAUCACUCUACAAUUGCACCUCAUUUUUAACCAAAAUAUCAUUUCCUGCUUCAUCAACCACCUUAUUCAUCAGAUAUGGCUCUGGAUGAUUUUUGGUUGUUUCCAAAAAUGAAAUUCAUCCUCAAAGCUUAAAGAUUUAUGCUACUGAAGCUCGUGAAGAAAUGUGCCAUCAACUCUGAAGAACUGAAGAGGAGUCCCAGAUAUAUUUUGGCUAGAGGGCAGUGGCUCGAUCUCAGUGCACUGCAACCUCCACCUCCUCAAGUAGCUGGAACUAUAGGCAUGUGCCACCAUGCCUGGCUCAAGUGAUUCCCCUGCCUCAGCCUCCUGAGUAGCUAGCAUACAGAUCUUCUGAAAAAGUUUUGGAGUCCCCCAGGGGUGCUGAGAGCACACUCUGAGAACCAUUGGUGGAGGAAGGUGCAGUGGAGUCAAGAGCACUGGGAAUUACAAACUAAGUUGCAUAUGUACAUGUCUAAAGAGGAUGGCAGAAGGAAGAUUAAACAAAAAGAUGAGUAAUAAAGAGUUAUGCUGUUGAUGAAGAAGACACACACAUUGAGUACAUGUUAGCAAUUAUUUCUGGGAGAUCCAUCAGGCAAAUGAAAUCUCCUAAUCCAAUUCAGGAAGGAAUUUCCUGGACAUGUGGAUCCAUAAUCCUGUUUAACUCCUCCACGAAGAGAGACUAAAUUAGAGAUCAACUCCAGUAAAAGCAAACUUAGAGGUAACAAUUGCGAACAGAGCCUGGGCAUCCCCCCCAGGGUCCCAGGCUAUCAUCUAAUAAAAGCCACACCAGUCCAGAAGCCACAUGGAAAUCACUUUACCCAGAAGCUUCUAGAAGGUCCACGUGUUCAUAACCAAGACCCUGGUAACAGAUCUAUUGCUCUUGGUUAUCUUAGGUGGUAGCGGUCUAUUUGUGAAGCAUCCCUUUCUAGAGAAUUUAGAUUCUGUCAUGGUCUAUUUUGCACUGGGGAAUGCAGUGGUGCUGUGUUGUUUUUCUCUUCGGCUGGUGAGGAGAAGAGGUGGGAAACUCUAGGCUCACCAAUGUCCUAUUUGUCUUUCUGUUUGUUGUUGCAACUGGUCUCAUUAAAUCGGGCAAGAGCUGCCAACAUAUACAACUCUGGCUUUCCUAAUUAAAGUUCUACUGAAAAAAGCUGCCUCUCUCUUCUAACUCCCUCACAGGAAUGCACUCUCAUAACAGAGGCAUCUGCCCCCUGGACUAACCUUUCUUAAAACCAGAUAAACAAAGUAAUACCAAUAAAAAUAUCCAUCUGUGCUUAAAGAUAAAUAGAGCAUUAAUAUACCAAACUGAGAUCUGGAUUCUUUUGAACCAGCUUUAAUGAUAUUAGACAUCUGUUCCGGCUUGCUUUCCACUCGUUUUCCACGUGCACAUUCCUAUAGGAAAACCAUGUGACAGCAGCUUUUCUGUGGGAAGUGGGGGUGCCACCUGACCCCUGCUCUUUUUCAGGGGACUGCCCCAGGAGAGGGUGGGAGAUACCAACGUAUAAGCCAAUGAUGUUCCUCCUUAACAUGUGGCACUCUAUUUGGGCUUCAUCAUGGAUUUUAAGCACUGUGAUUUUUAAAAAUUUUUAUGUUUGAGAUACCAGAAUGCCAACUUAUCCCUUUACAACAGUAAGUGGAAUUUUCAAGUAGACCAGAUGCACAAAUGUUGGCACAAUCGCGGCAGUCUUUCCCUUCCUGGAGUUAAGUCGUAUGAGUAUCCAAGAAAUAUCCAGAAGCCAUUCAUUUACCAGGAGAGAGCAUCUUCUCCAGCUGGAAAGAUGGGAGGCCCCAGUGAUGAUUGUUUCUUUUAAAGAGAAUUGUACUUGGAUGGCAAAAAAAAAAAAAAAAAAAAACCCAAAAAACAAAAAAACAAAAACACCCUCUAAGUGUUUCUUUUACUAUUUUGAACACUCAAUAAAAAUUUCAGACAAUGUACUAUUGUGGAAAAACUUUCUCCACUUAAAUACAGACCUGUUGACCUGGAUUUGUUAGAUUUGGUGCUAACUCUAAAGUGGCAAUGGGCAGAUCAGUGGCAUAGGGGCCAAGUCGAAAAUGUGUGGGGGUGUUCAAAAUUAUUCCAAUCAUGGGGUAGAUGCCACUGCUUUUUGAUGUCUGAAGACCAGCAAUGCAGAGGCACAGCAAUUCGAGUGGCAGUCUUACUCAAAUUGUCUGUUUCAAAUGCUGAUAUAACAUGGUAUUGAGAAGCACUUACUUUUUCAAGUAAUGGACCUUUUUUUUGAAACAAAAAUCUUACAGAGGACCCCAGUAUGUAAAACUCAUUAAAGGAGAGCUAUUUUGCCUGACGGGGAGGAGAUCCCUGAAAUACUUCUAGGGAACAUAGUUUGAGAACCACGAUUUUAGCUGAUACCAAAUGGCCAUACUGCUUUAAUAUUCUGAUCCUACAACGUUAUAAGGACUAAGUAGUUUAAUUUGUCUUAAACUAUAACUUCUAUAAUUAUAUUCAUCUCAACAUUUUAUGGGGAAAGUUUUAAACACACAGAAAAGUUGAAAGAAUUGUUAACAACUAGAUACACACCUGCUAGAUACGUACCCACUAGAUUCUACAAUUGCCACUGUUUUUCUCAUCACACAUCUCUCCUCAUGUGCCAAUUCACCAUAUUUUUAGAUGCAUUUCCAAGUAAGUUGCAGGCAUCAGUACAUUUCACCCCUAAUACUUCAG